UACAGGGGUCCCAAGCGUUGUUCGGAUUCACUGGGCGUAAAGGGUGCGUAGGUGGUGAGGUAAGUCGGAUGUGAAAGCUCGGAGCUCAACUCCGAAAUGGCAUUGGAAACUACCUUGCUCGAGGGUUGGAGGGGGGACUGGAAUUCUCGGUGUAGCAGUGAAAUGCGUAGAUAUCGGGAGGAACACCGGUGGCGAAGGCGGCCUUCUGGACGGAUACUGACGCUGAGACGCGAAAGCGUGGGGAGCAAACAGG
This 253-nucleotide ribosomal RNA is filed under the name uncultured prokaryote. RNAcentral's name for it is "partial 16S ribosomal RNA". It matches the Rfam family "Bacterial small subunit ribosomal RNA", at positions 524 to 776 of the family's 1533-position model. The record is from RNAcentral.